Thunnus maccoyii (southern bluefin tuna) is the source of this 277-nucleotide long non-coding RNA. RefSeq lists it as uncharacterized. The transcript has 3 exons. The record is from RefSeq and is a predicted model, not a curated record. Lineage: Eukaryota; Metazoa; Chordata; Actinopteri; Scombriformes; Scombridae.
GCUGAGGAGAGACCAGACAACAGAGAGAGGACACAGCCGGAGGAGCAGUACGCCAGCGUGCACUUCUCCAACAACCAGACAGAUCCUCUCUACUCCAACAUCAGAUCAGCUCAGCCCCACAGACACAUGGAGGAACAAGAGGUCGUCCAGUACGCUGCUGUCACAUUUAACAGAGCCGGUACUGCCCCGAGAACCAGAGGUCAGGAAACUGAAGAAGAUCCAGCUGCACUGUACAGCACAGUCAACAAAACCUCAUGAACACAUCAGCAAUCUCAUG